Nomascus leucogenys (northern white-cheeked gibbon) is the source of this 112-nucleotide unclassified non-coding RNA. It matches the Rfam family "Y RNA". Rfam says of the family: Y RNAs are components of the Ro ribonucleoprotein particle (Ro RNP), in association with Ro60 and La proteins. The Y RNAs and Ro60 and La proteins are well conserved, but the function of the Ro RNP is not known. NCBI's taxonomy places the organism in Eukaryota, Metazoa, Chordata, Mammalia, Primates, Hylobatidae. The record is from Ensembl.
GGCUGGUCCAAAGAUAGUGAGUUAUCUCAGUUGAUUGUUGACAGUCAGUUACAGAUCAAACUUCUCAUUCUACUCUUUCCCCCUUCUUACUACUGUACUUGACUAGUCAAAA